CCUACGGGUGGCAGCAGUAGGGAAUAUUGCACAAUGGGGGAAACCCUGAAGCAGCGACGCCGCGUGAGGGAUGAAGGUUUUAGGAUUGUAAACUCCUUUUGUGAGCGAAGAUAAUGACAGUAUCUCACCAAUAAACACCGGCUAACUCAGUGCCAGCGGCCGCGGUAAUACGGAGGGUGCAAGCGUUACUCGGAAUCACUGGGGGUAAAGAGUGCGCAGGCGGGCUUGUAAGUCUGAUGUGAAAUCCUGUUGCUUAACUACAGAACUGCAUUUGAAACUAUGAGUCUAGAGUGUGGGAGAGGUAGGUGGAAUUCUUGGUGUAGGGGUAAAAUCCGUAGAUAUUAAGAGGAACACGCAUGGCGAAGGCGACCUACUGGAACAUUACUGACGUUCAGGCACGAAAGCGUGGGGAGCAAACAGGAUUAGAUACCCCUGUAGUC
Molecule: ribosomal RNA, 440 nt
Filed under: uncultured bacterium
Lineage: Bacteria
Description: partial 16S ribosomal RNA
Rfam family: Bacterial small subunit ribosomal RNA
Source: RNAcentral